CAGUAUACGGUCUUUUCCAAGAGCCAACUACUCAAUCUGGUUCUGCAGCUGCAGGAUUCUUCUCCAUACUCAGGAGAAGCCUGAAUUACCUUCAAAUUAGAGUAGUCCUUGGAGUGCUGGAGUUGCUUUCCUGGAUGGAAAGGACAAGGCGCUUGCUAUUUUAUUUGAGAUGGUAAACAAUCUGCAUGUGGCCGCACUGCAGUUUGUUAAAGGACGUUAUUUAACUUCUUGACAGUAGAUCUUGUUGCAUUAGUC
This is a long non-coding RNA of Rhodamnia argentea, 255 nucleotides long. RefSeq lists it as uncharacterized. NCBI's taxonomy places the organism in Eukaryota, Viridiplantae, Streptophyta, Magnoliopsida, Myrtales, Myrtaceae. The transcript is spliced from 3 exons. The record is from RefSeq and is a predicted model, not a curated record.